GCCAAGUUUUGUAUUUCUGGGGCGUUUAGUUGUGUUGUUAUAGUCAUGAUGCGUUGUUGUGAGUUUUGUGGGUCCGGAUUGUGGUUUUGUGUUGUGGUUGUGUUCUUACAACUGGGAGGCAAGGCUUUUGCGUUGUGUUGUCAAAUUUUGUAUUUAAUAGAGCUGUUGUAUCUUUGCAAUAUCCUUAAAUCAUGGUCACGUGAAGCUGUCUUACACAGAGGCAGUUGGGUUGAUUCAGCCCAGUAUUACCUACACUGACUGCUCUCAGCAACUCCAUAUUAAAGAUUGAGGUCUCCCAUAUUAAAUGGGGGUGCCAAAGGAUUGAACUUCUGCCAUAUCUACAUGGCAAACAAGCACUUUACUACUCUACUAUUAUUCUCAGUUUUGAUCUCCCACUUCAGAUAUAGCCAAAGUAAAGCAAAGCCGUAAUUAUUAUUUGUUUCUAUGGAAUGGACUCUCAGUUUUAUGCCGGUUGAUUGAAAAAGCUUAUACCAUGAUAAAUAUGGUACAGUAGAGUCUCACUUAUCCAAGCUUCACUUAUCCAAAGCAGUCUGCCUUUUAGUAGUCAUUGUUUUUGUAUUAAAUGUUACAAUGUUUUGGUGCUAAAUUCAUAAAUACAGUAAUUACUACAUAACAUUACUGUGUAUUGAACUGCUUUUUCUGUCAUUUUUUUGUAAAACACAAUGUUUUGGUGCUUAAUUUGUAAAAUCAUAAUGUAAUUUUAUGUUUAAUAGGCUUUUUUCUUAAUCUCUCCUUAUUAUCCAAGAUUUUUGCUUAUUCAAGGUUCUGCUGGCCUGUUUAUCUUGGAUAAGUGAGACUCUACUGUAGUUGUUAAAUUAUCAUAGGCGUUUUGUUUGCUGGAACAGACCACAGACUACACUGCUGCCACAACAGAGGGGUGAAUCUACUGUGGAUUUUACUGCUGUUCCUUCCACAAUAGUUUUGUGUUGAAUGAUGGCUAUUCCACUGCUGACUGUAGUCCAACACUGGCAGAACAUUAUAGGCUGGACCAGGGCCGUAGCCAGAAAAAAAUUUCGGGAGGGGUUUUGAAAAUUUUUGGGGGGGGGGUCGAACCCCUAGCACAUACCCCUCCCCACUACAAACCUGUCAAUAUCUGCUUGAGAUAGUGCCUGGAGGGACUCUUAAUGUUUUGCAUCUCAUAGACUUAGCAUGGGGAUUUGGUUAACCAGUUAAAAUUCAUGAGUAAACGAGAUUUUUUUUAUAACUUGAAAAAUUUCGGGGGGGGGGGGUUGAACCCCUAACCCCCCCCCCCCCCUCGCUACAGGCCUGGGCUGGACAUAAUAUUUUGUAUAGUUUGAAAUGAAUGAU
Molecule: long non-coding RNA, 1329 nt
Filed under: Anolis carolinensis (green anole)
Lineage: Eukaryota; Metazoa; Chordata; Lepidosauria; Squamata; Anolidae
Description: lncRNA (ENSACAG00000041613.1)
Source: RNAcentral